Molecule: non-coding RNA, 632 nt
Organism: Paramuricea clavata
Lineage: Eukaryota; Metazoa; Cnidaria; Anthozoa; Malacalcyonacea; Plexauridae
Source: the annotation of a GenBank genome assembly
CGUUUAAGUGCCAUUACAUUUAUAACAAGAAAUCUUGUCUAAUGAAUGUGGUUUCAUGAUUAACUCUAUUGAUAAAUUCAAAAUGUGCCGCGAAUUUAUCAUAAUGAUAAAUUCGGACGUGUCUCAGAAUUUACUCAUAUAGUAAAUUCAAAGGUGGAGCUCGUGUUGCAAAUACGAUAUCCAUUAAUGGUUCAAUCGGGAUCAGCUCUAAUUCGGCAACGUCUUCAAUUAGAUAAUUUCGUAUUGCUAAACCUGUGUCGCAGAUGUGAGAAUGUACUACCUCAGUUUGUCAUGAACAUCAAGUCAUCAACCCCUCCGUAACCACGAACUUCGUGUUCAGCCCUCUUGCACUUUCCUUGGGGAACACCCUCGCCCCACUAAACACCCUCGUUUUCGUGUUUAAGCUUAUUUCCACAUUUAAUAGUUAAAAUCCAAAAUUCUUUUGUAUGCAUGUGUUGACGAAGGAUGUUUUGCUUCUUCGCCACCCUAGCCCGUGAGAAAUAAACUUGAAAUCUACUCCAUUUAAGGUGGUACGCCACAACUACACUGUUUUCGACUUAGGAACUCCAUAUGACUCCCGCAGUUCUCAUCACUCACAAAAAUUAUUUUAUGUCAAGAUUUUAAUUAAAAAG